Long non-coding RNA from Topomyia yanbarensis, 569 nucleotides. RefSeq lists it as uncharacterized. The record is from RefSeq and is a predicted model, not a curated record. Lineage: Eukaryota; Metazoa; Arthropoda; Insecta; Diptera; Culicidae. The transcript has 2 exons.
CAACACUUCUUUUGUUUUUUUGAUUUUCAGUUGCUGUAUAGCAACCAUGUUAAGUGCACAAUACAAAUCCAGUAACUAACUUGAAAAAUAAAUUUCAUAAGAAGCGGGCUCUGAACGGGUUAUCGGCAUCGUACGACCUUUCGUUCUCCUCCAUAUGAGGAACCUGCAACGGUUGUGGAAACGAAAAACGUAAUCCUUCAAAGUAUCCAUCACUCGAGGUUCAGCGCAACAAGAAAAAGAAACGAAGGGAGGAUAAAGUCCGCUCUCGUUCCGUUAGUCGAGGAAGCAGCUCUGGUGCUAGAUACUGUACUCCGGAAAUCGGUAAGAAUGGCGGUUCCUUAUAGCUCAAGGUAUCGAACGAUGCAACGUUAUCAGAGUUGGAAUUGAAAAGAGCGGCUUGCCUACCGAAACUGAACGAAUAGUUGGACGAGUGAUCCCUGUUGGUAUUGACAGCCAACUUUCUCUCAGCGAGUCGCAGAAGACAGUGACACAGAUGUAGCAGUAGUUUACAAGUGCGAAAUUUGUAUAUCUUUGAACCACAGAUGAAAAAUAUAUGCGAUUUAUCAACA